RNAcentral lists this ribosomal RNA (202 nucleotides) under uncultured bacterium. RNAcentral describes it as "partial 16S ribosomal RNA". It matches the Rfam family "Bacterial small subunit ribosomal RNA", at positions 524 to 720 of the family's 1533-position model. The record is from RNAcentral.
UACGUAGGGUGCGAGCGUUAAUCGGAAUUACUGGGCGUAAAGCGUGCGCAGGCGGUUUUGUAAGCCAGAUGUGAAAUCCCCCGGGCUUAACCUGGGGAAUGGCAUUUGGGACUGCAAGGCUGGAGUGCGGCAGAGGAGACGUGGAAUUCCUGGUGUAGCAGUGAAAUGCGUAGAUAAUCAUGAGGAAUACCAGAAGGCGAAG